UACGAAGGGGGCUAGCGUUGUUCGGAUUUACUGGGCGUAAAGCGCACGUAGGCGGAUCGUUAAGUCGGGGGUGAAGUCCUGGAGCUCAACUCCAGAACUGCCUUCGAUACUGGCGAUCUUGAGUCCGGAAGAGGUGAGUGGAACUCCUAGUGUAGAGGUGGAAUUCGUAGAUAUUAGGAAGAACACCAGUGGCGAAGGCGGCUCACUGGUCCGGUACUGACGCUGAGGUGCGAAAGCGUGGGGAGCAAACAGGAUUAGAUACCCUCGUAGUCC
Molecule: ribosomal RNA, 273 nt
Filed under: uncultured Devosia sp.
Lineage: Bacteria; Pseudomonadati; Pseudomonadota; Alphaproteobacteria; Hyphomicrobiales; Devosiaceae
Description: partial 16S ribosomal RNA
Rfam family: Bacterial small subunit ribosomal RNA
Source: RNAcentral